This 235-nucleotide ribosomal RNA is filed under the name uncultured bacterium. RNAcentral describes it as "partial 16S ribosomal RNA". It matches the Rfam family "Bacterial small subunit ribosomal RNA", at positions 99 to 334 of the family's 1533-position model. The record is from RNAcentral.
CGGACGGGUGAGUAACGCGUGGGUAACCUGCCUCACACUGGGGGAUAACAGUUAGAAAUAGCUGCUAAUACCGCAUAAGCGCACGGUUCCGCAUGGAACAGUGUGAAAAACUCCGGUGGUGUGAGAUGGACCCGCGUCUGAUUAGCCAGUUGGCGGGGUAACGGCCCACCAAAGCGACGAUCAGUAGCCGGCCUGAGAGGGUGAACGGCCACAUUGGGGCUGAGACACGGCCCAA